RNAcentral lists this ribosomal RNA (484 nucleotides) under uncultured bacterium. RNAcentral describes it as "partial 16S ribosomal RNA". It matches the Rfam family "Bacterial small subunit ribosomal RNA", at positions 30 to 507 of the family's 1533-position model. The record is from RNAcentral.
AUUGAACGCUGGCGGCAGGCCUAACACAUGCAAGUCGAGCGGAUGAAGGGAGCUUGCUCCUGGAUUCAGCGGCGGACGGGUGAGUAAUGCCUAGGAAUCUGCCUGGUAGUGGGGGAUAACGUCCGGAAACGGGCGCUAAUACCGCAUACGUUCUGAGGGAGAAAGUGGGGGAUCUUCGGACCUCACGCUAUCAGAUGAGCCUAGGUCGGAUUAGCUAGUUGGUGGGGUAAAGGCCUACCAAGGCGACGAUCCGUAACUGGUCUGAGAGGAUGAUCAGUCACACUGGAACUGAGACACGGUCCAGACUCCUACGGGAGGCAGCAGUGGGGAAUAUUGGACAAUGGGCGAAAGCCUGAUCCAGCCAUGCCGCGUGUGUGAAGAAGGUCUUCGGAUUGUAAAGCACUUUAAGUUGGGAGGAAGGGCAGUAAGUUAAUACCUUGCUGCUUUGACGUUACCAACAGAAUAAGCACCGGCUAACUUCGUG